GAUGAACGCUGGCGGCGUGCCUAAUACAUGCAAGUCGAGCGAACAGACGAGGAGCUUGCUCCUCUGACGUUAGCGGCGGACGGGUGAGUAACACGUGGAUAACCUACCUAUAAGACUGGGAUAACUUCGGGAAACCGGAGCUAAUACCGGAUAAUAUAUUGAACCGCAUGGUUCAAUAGUGAAAGACGGUUUUGCUGUCACUUAUAGAUGGAUCCGCGCCGCAUUAGCUAGUUGGUAAGGUAACGGCUUACCGAGGCAACGAUGCGUAGCCGACCUGAGAGGGUGAUCGGCCACACUGGAACUGAGACACGGUCCAGACUCCUACGGGAGGCAGCAGUAGGGAAUCUUCCGCAAUGGGCGAAAGCCUGACGGAGCAACGCCGCGUGAGUGAUGAAGGUCUUCGGAGCGUAAAACUCUGUUAUUAGGGAAGAACAAAUGUGUAAGUAACUAUGCACGUCUUGACGGUACCUAAUCAGAAAGCCACGGCUAACUACGUG
Molecule: ribosomal RNA, 497 nt
Filed under: uncultured bacterium
Lineage: Bacteria
Description: partial 16S ribosomal RNA
Rfam family: Bacterial small subunit ribosomal RNA
Source: RNAcentral